This 509-nucleotide ribosomal RNA is filed under the name uncultured bacterium. Its description in RNAcentral is "bacterial SSU rRNA". It matches the Rfam family "Bacterial small subunit ribosomal RNA", at positions 43 to 507 of the family's 1533-position model. The record is from RNAcentral.
CGAUGCCUAAGACAUGCAAGUCGAACGAGAUGGCCAGUGAAGGUUGAGUGCUUGCACGAGACUGAAUCUGGAUUCCCAUCUAGUGGCAGACGGGUGAGUAACACGUGGGUGACCUACCUUUUCGUUGGGGAUAACAGUUGGAAACGAUUGCUAAUACCGAAUAAAAUGUAAGAGUCAAUUUUACAUUGAAAGGAGCCUUUAAAGCUUCGCGAUUAGAUGGGGCCUGCGGCGUAUUAACUAGUUGGUGAGGUAAUGGCUUACCAAGGUGACGAUGCGUAGCCGAACUGAGAGGUUGAUCGGCCACAUUGGGACUGAGACACGGCCCAAACUCCUACGGGAGACAGCAGUUAGGAAUAUUCGUCAAUGGAGGUAAACUCUGAACGAGCAAUGCCGCGUGAGUGAUGAAGGUCUUAUAGAUUGUAAAACUCUGUUGUAUGGAAAAAACGACUAGGUUAGGAAAUGAACUUGGUGUGAUGGUACCAUACCAGAAAGCCCCGGCUAACUACGUG